This 468-nucleotide ribosomal RNA is filed under the name Sarcocystis singaporensis. Its description in RNAcentral is "SSU rRNA". It matches the Rfam family "Eukaryotic small subunit ribosomal RNA", at positions 439 to 901 of the family's 1831-position model. Lineage: Eukaryota; Apicomplexa; Conoidasida; Eucoccidiorida; Sarcocystidae. The record is from RNAcentral.
AAUUACCCAAUCCUGACACAGGGAGGUAGUGACAAGAAAUAACAACGCUGGAAAUUUUAUUUCUAGUGAUUGGAAUGAUGGGAAUCCAAACCCCUUUCAGAGUAACAAUUGGAGGGCAAGUCUGGUGCCAGCAGCCGCGGUAAUUCCAGCUCCAAUAGCGUAUAUUAAAGUUGUUGCAGUUAAAAAGCUCGUAGUUGGAUUUCUGUUGGAAGCAACCAGUCCGCCUUGAAUUGGGUGUGCACUUGGUGAAUUCUGACAUGAUACUCCUGAUGAUAGUAGUAUACUACCUCGUGUGUAUAUUAUUGUUGUUAGGACCGUUACUUUGAGAAAAUUAGAGUGUUUCAAGCAGGCUUGUUGCCUUGAAUACUGCAGCAUGGAAUAACAAGAUAGGAUUUCGGUUCUCUUUUUUGUUGGUUUCUAGGACUGAAGUAAUGAUUAAUAGGGACAGUUGGGGGCAUUCGUAUUUAA